UACAGAGGGGGCAAGCGUUGUUCGGAAUUACUGGGCGUAAAGAGCUCGUAGGCGGUCUGUCGCGUCGGCUGUGAAAUCCCGAGGCUCAACCUCGGGUCUGCAGUCGAUACGGGCAAACUGGAGUGUUGCAGGGGAGACUGGAAUUCCUGGUGUAGCGGUGAAAUGCGCAGAUAUCAGGAGGAACACCGGUGGCGAAGGCGGGUCUCUGGGCAACAACUGACGCUGAGGAGCGAAAGCGUGGGGAGCGAACAGG
Molecule: ribosomal RNA, 253 nt
Filed under: uncultured bacterium
Lineage: Bacteria
Description: partial 16S ribosomal RNA
Rfam family: Bacterial small subunit ribosomal RNA
Source: RNAcentral